CGGCCCACCUAGCCUACGACGGGUACGGGCCCUGAGAGGGGGAGCCCGGAGAUGGGCACUGAGACAAGGGUCUAGGCCCUAAGGGGUGCAGCAGGCGCGAAGAUUCCGCAAUGCCCGAAAGGGCGACGGAGUGAACCCGAGUGCCACCCGCUGAGGGUGGCUGUUCCCCUGUGUAAAAAGCAGGGGGUAGAAAGGGGAGGGCAAGGCUGGUGGCAGCCGCCGCGGUAAAACCAGCUCCCCGAGGGGUUCCCACGCAUACUGGGCCUAAAGCGUCCGUAGCCGGCCCUGCAAGUCUGCAGUUAAAUCCGCCUGUAGACAGGCGGGCUGCUGCAGAUACUGCAGGGCUAGGGAGCGGGAGGAGCCGGGGGUAUUCCCGGGGGAGCGGUAAAAUGCGUAGAUCCCGGGAGGACCACCAGUGGCGAAGGCGCCCGGCUUGAACGCGUCCGACGGUGAGGGACGAAAGCUGGGGGAGCAAACCGGAUUAGAUACCCGGGUAGUCCCAGCCGUAAACGAUGCCGGCUAGGUGCUGGCCAAGGUUUCGACCUUGGCCAGUGUCGAAGCGAAGGCAUUAAGCCGGCCGCCUGAGGAGUACGGCCGCAAGGCUGAAACUUGAAGGAAUUGACGGGGGGGCACCACAAGGGGUGAAUGCCUGCGGCUUAAUUGGACUCAACGCCGGGAAUCUUACCGGGGGCGACAGCAGGAUGAAGGUCAGGCUGAAGACCUUACCAGACGCGCUGAGGGGUGGUGCAUGGCCGUCGCCAGCUCGUGCCGUGAGGUGUCCUGUUAAGUCAGGCAACGAGCGAGACCCCCGCCCCUAGUUGCCAGCGGCCUCCUUCGGGAGGGACCGGGCAAACUAGGGGGACCGCCUCCGAAGAGGAGGAGGAAGGUGGGGGCUACGGCAGGUCAGUAUGCCCCUAAUCCCCCGG
Molecule: ribosomal RNA, 926 nt
Filed under: uncultured korarchaeote
Lineage: Archaea; Thermoproteati; Thermoproteota
Description: bacterial SSU rRNA
Rfam family: Archaeal small subunit ribosomal RNA
Source: RNAcentral